This is a long non-coding RNA of Pongo abelii (Sumatran orangutan), 2762 nucleotides long. NCBI's taxonomy places the organism in Eukaryota, Metazoa, Chordata, Mammalia, Primates, Hominidae. The record is from Ensembl.
AUGCUUAGAAAAAAUCAAUAAACUCCCUUCUAAAUAUUGAGACACUGCAGGCUUCUUUCAGACAAAUAACUUCUAAUUAUUCCAUAUUUUUCAAAUUAUUAACCAAGAUAAAGAAUCUCUCAGUUGGUGGGGAAAAUGAAAAUUAUUAAGAAUAGAAUUGUCUUCUGACUUUAAAAACAAUUCAUACUUUAAAACAUGAACUGUUUACCCAGGCUGGUGAUACUCUAGUUUGUUAGUAUACCAUACUUGAAGAUAUCAUCAAGAUCACUAUAGUUGUAUAUAUUCUCUAUUUUUAUAUGUAAAUGUUAACUUAGUUCAAGUAUUUUUUGCUUAUAUCAUUAACUGAUCAUCAAAUACAAUCCUAAAGAUAUAUCAGAAGCUUUAUUUUGGUACAAAGUCAUAAGAAUCAAAACUUUUUUAACCAUUCACAUUAGGUAUCAACAGUAAUUUUUUGAGAUACUUUUAUAUCAAUUCUGUUACACUGAGCCUUUAGUCAUACUAAGAGAAUGCAGAAGAAGUUAUAGGAAAACGAAUCUUCACUGAAACUAGUAUUGUAUAGUCUUGAAUUAGAUGUUUAAAAAACUUUAUAGCUUGAUAUAAAAUGAGUCGAAAAUUAUUAUUUAAUAGGAAGCAGCAUUAGGUUUUUGUCACCUGUUUUCAGAUAAUAUUUCUAGUCUAUGUUAUUUAAUUUUUACACUUUGGCCCAUUGUUUAUUUUCCUUAUGGAAUUCAUCAAAUGCAAUGAAAUUUGAAUAAAAUUGAUCAUAGCAAUAAAUAAUUUUUAAAUUCAGCACAAACUCAUCUUGAGCAUAUUAUCAACCAGGCUUCCUUUAGCAAUAAGAAUGGUGAAUCAACAUCCAGUACUAAAUUCAAUAAAUGAUGAAUACUUUAAAUACAAGAAAAAGUUGAAUUGCAGAAGAGGGCCUAAAAAGGAAGAAAGUUUUAAUUCUCAACAAGAAACACUAUUUAGAUGGAAAGCUUAAAUGUAUUGUUAUUAAGGGUAUUUGAUGAUGCAUUUUAUUUGCAAAAAUAACCAGUGGGUAAUUUUUUCUCUGAAAAUUUAGCUUUAGUGAGUCGUAAAAUUUCCUAAAGAUUUUGGAGACGAUAUUUCGAUUAUACCAGCUCUUGCUUUUAUUUUGGGAGCCUGGAGAAAUGAGAGUGAUUGCACCUGUCAAAUUUUGUAUCUCAUCGCUUUUGGAUCAUCACACUGUGACUAAAAUGACUUCAGCAUUUUGUCAGCCACCACAGUGAAGAACUAUUCCCUAAAGUUAAUCAGUUGCCUGACUGCCUUUUCUGCUACUGAGGGGGAAGAAAGGAAAGCUUUAUUUACCUCUAAUGAACUCCGUUCCAAGUCAGUUAAUCACUGUUCCCUUACACCCAAGAGUUUCAUCAGUAUCGGAGUCAACUUGUCAAAACACUGGUUCUCAGAUGUUUUUUUCAGAGGGACUUCUUUUCCCCACAUGGCCAGAUUUCUUUACAAUUAAGAAAAUAAGAGCUACAGCGUAUUCUUGGUUAAAAACCAGUUUAGAUGAUGUUACCAAAUGAAACAAGUCUAUUAGCAAAUGCCACGUUAUAUUUAGUCGUAUUCUCACUAAAUUCUCCUUUAUUAAAAUGAUUUCUGCAUCUUGCCUAGACAAUGCACUUACAUGUUUACAAGCGUUGUAUGUCAAUGUGCAUGUUUUGAGUUUCCUAACAGUGUCCAAUCUUAGUAGUUUCAUAGUAGUUACAUAAAAUCUCUUUAACUGCAAAAUACUAUAAAAUAUUACUUGAAAUAUUAAAGUAUUAGUGCCAUUUCUAGCUGUGGCAAGGCACAAGUCUUACUAUAGCUUACUUAUGUCUUCUCAUAGAUUUCAGUACAGCAUCUGAGUAGUGGAUCUGUUUACUGACAGUAUACACAAAUUAGGUCUUGACCUCACUUCUUUCUUCAUUUAAAAGGGAGAAGAUGAUUUGAAAUAGAGCUAGUGUAAAUAAUAAAUAAAAUUAUUUAAAUAACAUCAGUGGCUCAAUACCAUCUGUUGAGGAAUAAAAUAAUUUGGUUAACAUAUAGAACAUCGAUAAUAUACAAUAAUAACUUUUUAAAAAAUGAGUCUGAUCUUUUUGGCUCACCUAGCUUCCGUUAAUAAGAAAAUUUGAGAAACUUGGAUCUGAAAAUUAUAGUAAUAUACUUCCUAACAUUAAAUUCCUGGCUGUAAUAGUUAAUACUUUGGCAGCAUUAUGGUUAGUCUUGUUUAUGCCAUUGGCACUUACUAGGCUAAACUUUCUGAAACUGAUUGGUUUUGACCUAUGAGAUAAGGAAACAUGCUCAAGAAAUGGCUAGAAAUGCUAUUUAUUGCCCUAUGAUAAGUGAAAUAGCAAAUCACUCUGAUUCUUAAAAUUUCAUAUUAAAAUUAGCUAGUUCCUACAUGCAUGUGUGCACAAGUAUAUGCAGACACACACACAAAUCAGUAAUCUAUGUGAACUAGACACUAAUACUAAAUUACUAUUUAAAUUGGGUCCAGAAAGAUGCUGUUUUGAAAAGAACACUCUAAAAAUAUUUCAUUAGAGUUUUCUUGAUAACAAAUAGGAAAAUAUAUGUUUACACCCUGAAUAAAUUCAGCUGUGGGUGGAUUUUUGUUUUUCAAAAUGAUUUUGUUAGUUUGCAUGAAACCUAAAUAUCAUAGCACGCAAGUCAAUUCUUUAACAUUUUUCUUUAUAACAGAAUAUGAAAAAUGCUGUCUUAAAGUAUUGUAACUUUUCUGAAUUUUCAAUAAAAUGUUUUGCUUG